Molecule: long non-coding RNA, 1406 nt
Filed under: Mus musculus (house mouse)
Lineage: Eukaryota; Metazoa; Chordata; Mammalia; Rodentia; Muridae
Description: Pvt1 oncogene
Rfam family: Pvt1 oncogene conserved region 1 (bases 54-210)
Source: RNAcentral
GUCACGGGCCACCCGCCAGCCCCGCGCUCUACCAGGCAGAGCGCGUGUGGCCGCCGAGCACAUGGACCCACUGGUCAAGCGGGCUCGGCAAGGCCAGGAUGAAGAGAAGCUACGAACUUAGCAUUCCCAGAGCCCCCCGAGUGGAUAUCCGCGUGGAAAGGAUGUUGGCAGCCCCGGUGACCUCGGAGUCACGGCUGGAUCCACCCUCUUGUCUGAUUUUCUUAACUCUACUACGGUAAGAAGAUGCCCUCCAUCAGCAGGCCGUGUCUGCUGGGACCUCUCUGGAGACUUCCUGAACCCUGUGGAUUUACAGUAAGAUGCAGUUUCCUGGGGAGUAAUUCUGGUGGAUACAAAUUCCGGAGUAUUACACCUGGCUUGCCUGGAGAUGUUACAAGUAGCUGGAUGGAUUCUUCAGCCUGGAUGCCCACUGAAAACAAGGACCGAAACUAAGAGGAUUGUAUCUCUACCCUUGACUCAAUGAGAAUGUUUGUUGUCAUCUCUCGGGCUACCUGGAGCUCCCUCUAAAAUUAUACCCUUUAAGCGUUCCAGAAGGAUUUUGAGAUCCUUUCCUAAAUCAAAGGUGGAAUAUUUGGGGAUUUGGAAAAUUGAGGCUUCAGAGAAAUCAGGAGCGGUGAAUGAUCGAAAUGGACCUUUGAGAUUACAGUGUGGAGCUGACAUUGCCAGUUAAGCCUGGGCAGAUCUGACUUAAUUGAUUUAGUUGUUGGAGCAGAGACAACCCAGAGGCUUGGAUCAGCCUCCCCAUCUGACAGUGUGCUGAUGUGAAGCGUUGACUUAAGAGAUGCCAAGUAACUCAGCAGAUGUCACACAGACGAUAAAUAGCAAAGAUGGAAGUCUUCAUGCCGGAGGCAAUCCUAUAAGACAGCUGAGUUCUGCAGAGCUGGUAGGAGACAGACUUGCUCAGGUGAUAGAUCCAGCCAUGAUACUGACCCUAAGAGAAUGAGACGCUCUGCAGAAGACAGAAGAUUCCUGAAACUGGGAAAGGUGCCUAGAAAUCCUGAUAAGAGUGAAGAAGGGUACCUGGAGGCACAGCAGCCAUGUUGAACCUAUGAGGUGAUGAAAAACCAUGCAACUAGAAACCAGAAUGGAAGAAAAGAAGAAGCUGGAUCCUUGACUGAAUUGUCGAUGGGGGAUAGUCCAUCAUCCCAGGGCUAAGACCACCUCCAGAUUUCUUGUUUGGUGAAACAAGUCCUGAUUGUUUACAUUCCCUCGUGUUGAGCUGUCUCUUGCUUGUAGCUGAAAGCAUUUCUAAUAGAUAUUCAGAUUAUCAGCCUUAGCUCCAAGCUAGAAUACUCUAUGGGACCUUAGCUUCUCCAUGAAUUCCUUUGCUCAUCUGUGUAAUGCUCAAUAAAUGUAAAUUGAACCCUGAAUGAGGGACAAUGACACUA